This 18-nucleotide small RNA is filed under the name Arabidopsis thaliana (thale cress). RNAcentral's name for it is "ATSL297550". Lineage: Eukaryota; Viridiplantae; Streptophyta; Magnoliopsida; Brassicales; Brassicaceae. The record is from RNAcentral.
UUUUUUUUUGCCUUUUUC